RNAcentral lists this long non-coding RNA (775 nucleotides) under Struthio camelus australis. Its description in RNAcentral is "lncRNA (ENSSCUG00000002631.1)". Lineage: Eukaryota; Metazoa; Chordata; Aves; Struthioniformes; Struthionidae. The record is from RNAcentral.
CCAAAACCUCACAGCGGUGGUGGACAAUUCUGCAAGGACACAGCAGUUCUGAAACUUGUCUUUGAGCACCUUUUUUGAGGAGCCACAGAAAUAAGCUCACUGACUUUAUGGUGGGUGGGUGGCUGGGGACACCUUGGAGGCGUGAACACUGUUUUUACUUAGCUGGCCUCCACUGAAAAUGCAGAGGACGACAGGUGUGAAUUGAAGACACUGCAGCUGGAUUAAUAAUUUGCUUCACAUCUGGGCCAGACGCUUAGAGUUUGGCAAAGGUAAGUUGAAGAUCCACCAUCUAUUUUUACGUGUUGGCCCGACCAUGCCACAGUUUAUGCUCUAUGUCAAAGAUUUGGCUGUGGCUACAGCUCAUGCAACUACAGAUUUUCAAUGGACAAGACUUAUCAGUUGUCAAACAAAGUAGAUCUAAUAGCUUUAAUUUUGAAUUUGUUUUUAAUUUAGAUUUUUGUUUUAAAAUCAAGAACUUUUUGGAUUGAUAAGAGUGUGGAAUACGCUUUUUGUUUAAACUGUUUGAAGAGGUAUUUAAAAUAAAAUUAAUUAUAUGUAAAGUUCUCCUGAAAUGUAUUUGACUUUUUACAGUACCAAAUUUCAUGUCGCGUCCAAGGGAGAUGUAAGUGUUCCCCGCUCUCACCCAGACCACCACCAACCUGCGAGGCAGCUGCGUGCAUGGCAGAGACUACUGGAGUUCAGGUUGGAGCCUGGCUUUGAGAGCAGAAGCAAAGAAGAACAAACUGUUCAAAGCCUUAUGACAGAAGGAGGUUAG